Molecule: unclassified non-coding RNA, 289 nt
Filed under: Hevea brasiliensis (rubber tree)
Lineage: Eukaryota; Viridiplantae; Streptophyta; Magnoliopsida; Malpighiales; Euphorbiaceae
Source: RNAcentral
UCAUUGUCUUCAGGGCGUUGCUGCAAGCAAAAUGAGUUUGAGCAUGAUAUCAGGGGCAUGAUAUUAGGGGGGCAAGAGACAGAGACAGACACAGAUGACUGCAGAUGCCUAUGUUGUAUGCUAAAAAAAAAGGCACAUAUUGCAUGGUCACAUUUAAGGACAAUGGUAAUUGCAACAUGAGUAACAUCAGUCUUGUCAAAUGCGCUGGGCGCCCUUGAGGCGAGAAGGUCCUCCAUCACCCAAGGCGCUUGCCCAAGCGAAGUGUGGCGCUAAUUUAUUCUAAAAUAAU